Aquila chrysaetos chrysaetos is the source of this 426-nucleotide long non-coding RNA. RefSeq lists it as uncharacterized. The transcript is spliced from 3 exons. The record is from RefSeq and is a predicted model, not a curated record. Lineage: Eukaryota; Metazoa; Chordata; Aves; Accipitriformes; Accipitridae.
GCACUGCAACAUCCAACCAGCUAAAGAAGGCAGGAGUGGAAGAGAGGAGGGAGAUUUGCCCAUCCUCAAGAGCUCUGGGAGGUAAGCCUGCGAUCCCAAAACAUACAAGGAGGUGUCCUUCCAGGUCUUGCUUGGAGAAAAGGCAAGAAAACCAAGAGAAACCUGCAGACCUCAGACCAGACCUACUGCAUGAAAGUCCAGCGCAUUUUGGGAGAGCAUCGAGUUGGUGCAGAGAGGGAUUUCCCGACGAGAGGGCAUGAGAGCCGCGUGCCCUCCCGCUGCCCCUCUCCAUCCCUGCCUGGACAGAUGGAAGGCAGCAGCUUUUUAAUUAUUAAAAUUAGUGCAGCGUUGAAAACACGUAGCAUGCUUUUGGCUCUGCAAAUCAUUGCUUUUGUGAGAGAGGAGCAGUAAUAAAAUUAACCAACA